CAGCCGCCGCGGUAAUACGUAGGGCGCAAGCGUUAUCCGGAAUUAUUGGGCGUAAAGAGCUCGUAGGCGGUUUGUCGCGUCUGCCGUGAAAGUCCGGGGCUCAACUCCGGAUCUGCGGUGGGUACGGGCAGACUAGAGUGAUGUAGGGGAGACUGGAAUUCCUGGUGUAGCGGUGAAAUGCGCAGAUAUCAGGAGGAACACCGAUGGCGAAGGCAGGUCUCUGGGCAUUAACUGACGCUGAGGAGCGAAAGCAUGGGGAGCGAACAGG
RNAcentral lists this ribosomal RNA (268 nucleotides) under uncultured prokaryote. RNAcentral describes it as "partial 16S ribosomal RNA". It matches the Rfam family "Bacterial small subunit ribosomal RNA", at positions 509 to 776 of the family's 1533-position model. The record is from RNAcentral.